AAGGCUGACCACCACUAAGGCAGCAUCUUUUUGAGAUUGCUUCUUUGUGGAGUUUGGAUAACCAGCCUCAGUGUUUUCCAGCUAGACUGAAGGCAUCUGUAUUGCGCUCCUGAGAGCACGUGACUUGUGAUGGAAUAAUUUAGCAUUCCGAAUCGGUAUCAACGCUGCAACUGGCUGAGAGGUGACAUGGUUAUUUAUAAAGCCUGAGGCCAUCGCAAGGUUUUAAUAGGCAUUUGUUUCCAUUUGGAUACCAAAAGUAUGAAUCUCAGCUGCGAUGUAAUCUGAGGUACAGGUUAUAAUUAGUUUCCUGACACUGUGCAUUUUUCACACUCGCUAUUAUCUAAAAGGAUAAAAGAGCUUUGAAAUAAACUUUUGUCAUUGUGAGGAGGAAGAAGCACAAAACCUUGAGGAUAUUUGUCUGCAUUCAGGACAGUGAAACGUGGCUACGUGGGGCAUCUGCUUCAUCACUGAGCGUUCGGUGUCUGCAGCAUCAGGCUUCAAUCACUGCACACAUCACUGUGACUUAUUUUUUUCCAUGUGUGCUGUAUGCAGAGAGUUAAAUUGUACUUAGAGGAGAGGAAAUUUUGUAUAAUUCUGCCUUUCUGGAAUGUUGGAUCCUUUGACCUUUUCUUCUCCAUUUUUUGAGUUGCAUAUGUGUAGCCAUACCAUGGAAAAUAAAUGCUAGUCAUGUAACGUUUGUGUGCUUCAAUGCACUGUAGCUGAGUUUCUUUCAUCUGAACAUGGAGGCAAAGUCUGAAGGCAGCGGGAGCAGUUCUGUGAGCCUUCAGAGAGUGCUGCAUAGCAAACCCUGAGCCACAGAAGUGAUGCUGGAAGGCAGGAGAUGUGCCCACAUGCCUUUCCAGUCACCAACAGGAAAGUGCUGAUAACUGUUAAAGGGGAAGAAGGAUUGAGAAGCAUUUGUUGAUUUGAAGAGUGGCAGGAUGAGAAACAAAAGCAGUACUUCAGUAGCGCAGCAGCCUGGCGCGCUGCCUUCGGGGUGGGUUUUUUAUCUGCUCCGUGAUUUCUUUUUCAGAUGUUGCUGAGCACCUGUAGCCCUCCUUACAGUGAAAGGCUGUCUGUAUGCGGGCAAAAUAACUUUAAAAAUCUAUUCCUUGGUAUUUUAACGUGGAUGGGCAACACAGUUUUGUAGUUGAAGAUUUUGAAUCGGUUUCAGCUGCUCUUCUGAAGAUGCCAGAAUGCCAAAGCACCGCUGGAACUGCAGCUAAAAUCCUGCCCACCCUGCCCUCCUCCUUGAGCCAGUUCUGAGAUUGUGGAUUUCACUGUGCCUGAAAACAGCAGCUGACUGAAGAUCCAGAUGACUUUUUCUGUGAUUUUGUGAGUGACAACUUCUCCAUAUGGUGGAAACGUUCCUUAAAAGAGGACAGGGAGUUGGUGGAGUAAAAUGAAGUGCUCCAACAUCCUCAUCCAAAAUAGUAUCUUGGCAGAGCAUGACAGAAAUAGGAUGUUGUUCAAAUUCUUCUUUCUUUCCAAGAAGCUAUUAAUGUUGAGCAUUGCAGGAGAGCCUCACCUUGUAUUUUACAUCCUGCUGGGCUUCCUUCUCUGCUGCUCAUUCCUACUCUCCAACUCUUUCCUAAAGAAGGAGCACAGGAGGGCCUGAGGCUGGGCACUGCACCUCGCAGUGUCACACAUCUUCUCUUUAUCCUCAGCAAAUCUGAUGCAGACGUAGCCUGCACUGAAGCAAUCUAUCCAGAGGACUCCCACCAGAAAAUGAUAAAGCAUAUCCUAUUAGGCUCUACAUUUUUGUCUUACACUAUAAUAUUUUUCAGUCACUUCACCCGCUGUGUGGCUUUUAGUGUGUUUACACUGUGAAACAACAAACUGUCUGUGGAAAUCCCAACAGCCUUUUAGGCUUUGGGAAGUGCAGAUAUAUCCCGUGGUUAACUUAAAUCGUGGCUCUGUUGACAAACCCUGAGCUUUGCCAUCCUCUUCAUAGGGAGUGGGCUGUGCUGUAGGAGAAAUGGCUGCAGCCAUUUCCAGUCCAAGAGAAGAUUCUUGGUAGGGCGCUACCAGCUUUACCUUCCCUUGCCUAGAGCUCAGCAUCUGUUUGCUGAUCACGUGCCCUGGGCCCUGAUUUGCUUCUGGACCCGCUUUCCUUCUUCCACAUUCCCCUUCAACUUGAAUGGAGAGGACUGGAAACGGACACAAUAUUUUGUGUGGCCAAAUUGGAUGAGUCAGUGGGGAUGUUCCCAUGAUCUGUUGGCCUCCUGAUGUAGCCCAAGGCACAGUUUGCUUAUUCAUGCUGGAGACACGCUGGUUGCUUUGCUUUAGCCAGAGUCUGUUCCAAACAUGCGCUAUUGGGUUGCUUCUCUGUCUUUUCCUCUUGAAAAAUAGGCUUGUACGACUGCGGUAGUAUUUGACAUGCCAAGAGCUCUACUGUAAUCUAAGCUUGUGAUCAUAAAUGCUCAGUGUUUGUAGAAGAACAAACGUUUCUUGUUAAAUAUUUCUCUAAGUCUAUAUAAAUAUAACCAAUGGUUAGAAAAGUAAUCUGUUAGAGAAGACGUUAUUUUAAGUCGUAUAUGAAAUCAUUAAUAUGGUCAAAUACUCCUGAUAUUAAAUCUUCGUUAUUUUAACUCCU
This is a non-coding RNA of Coturnix japonica (Japanese quail), 2596 nucleotides long. NCBI's taxonomy places the organism in Eukaryota, Metazoa, Chordata, Aves, Galliformes, Phasianidae. The record is from RefSeq and is a predicted model, not a curated record.